Molecule: RNA transcript, 2146 nt
Organism: Cucumis melo (muskmelon)
Lineage: Eukaryota; Viridiplantae; Streptophyta; Magnoliopsida; Cucurbitales; Cucurbitaceae
Exons: 12
Source: RefSeq, a predicted model, not a curated record
UCAUAAAAGGGCAUAAACAAAAUUAAAAGAGUGGCAUUACGUGGUAAUAAGAAAAAUCAGACCACAUCUUUCGAUCCCCUUCUUUUUCUGCUUCUUCUUCUUCUACUAUUACUGCUGAUUCUCUAUCGUCCACAGUCUCCAAAGCAAACGUAAAAUUUCCCACCAAAACGAUGAACAAAUCAACCCAUUUCCCCUCAAUUUAGCAUUCUCAUCAGACCCAUUUUCUUUCUACUAUUGCCUUUAAUGGCCGCUUCAUCUCUUUCUAUUCUUCCAUCUCCCCUCACCUUUGAGCGUUUCUCUGCUUCUUCUUCUUCACCUUCAUCGUCUUCCUUCUUCCAUGGCGGAACCCAUCUCAGGUUCCACAAAAACUUCCUCUCUGUGCAUUCCUAUUCCUUUAACUCUUCUCCUUCUUCUCCCAAUUCCCAAUUUAAUAAAAGGGUCUCUUCGAGACGACGCCUAGGACUUGUUGUUAGUGCUUCUGGGGAUUAUUAUGCCACUCUCGGCAUCCCCAAAUCUGCUAAUAGUAAGGAAAUUAAGGCCGCUUAUCGGAAAUUGGCUCGUCAGUAUCACCCUGACGUCAAUAAAGAACCUGGGGCAACUGAGAAGUUUAAAGAAAUCAGUGCUGCUUACGAGGUUCUUUCAGAUGAUAAGAAGCGGGCUUUGUAUGAUCAAUAUGGUGAAGCGGGUGUUAAGAGUACAGUAGGAGGUUCUAGUGCUUAUACGACUAAUCCAUUUGAUUUAUUUGAGACAUUCUUUGGACCGAGCAUGGGAGGAUUUGGUGGUAUGGAUCCAACUGGGUUCCGCACACGUCGAAGUAGUACUGUUACUAAGGGUGAAGACAUACGUUAUGACAUCAAUUUAGGAUCUUCUGAAGCCAUAUUUGGAUCAGAGAAAGAAUUUGAGCUGUCCCAUCUGGAAACAUGUGAAGUUUGCACUGGCACUGGAUCUAAAGUAGGCUCCAAAAUGAGGAUAUGCUCAACAUGUGGAGGGAGAGGUCAAGUCAUGAGAACCGAGCAAACACCUUUUGGCUUGUUUUCUCAGGUCUCUGUUUGUCCAAAUUGUGGUGGCAAUGGUGAGGUCAUAUCUGAAUUCUGUCGGAAGUGUUCUGGUGAAGGGCGCAUCCGUGUUAAGAAAAACAUCAAGGUUAAAGUUCCUCCAGGAGUCAGUGCAGGCAGUAUCCUAAGAGUUGCAGGAGAAGGUGAUGCUGGACCCAGAGGGGGCCCUCCUGGAGAUCUCUUUGUGUAUCUUGAUGUUGAAGAGAUACCCGGAAUUCAAAGAGAUGGCAUCAAUCUUUACUCAACAAUAGCUAUAAGUUAUCUGGACGCCAUUAUGGGAUCUGUUGUCAAGGUAAAGACGGUUGAAGGUAUGGCUGACCUUCAAAUUCCACCUGGUACUCAGCCUGGUGAUGUUCUUGUUCUUGCGAAGAAAGGUGUUCCAAAACUAAAUAAGCCAUCAAUUCGAGGAGACCACUUAUUCACAAUCAAAGUAACCAUACCAAAUCGUAUCAGUGAAAAAGAGCGAGAAUUGCUUGAAGAACUUGCUUCACUGAGCAACAAUGCUGGGACUGGGAGCCGUUUCAGAACUCGCCAAAAAUCCCAACCACAACCAACUAAUUUGAUUGCAUUUGCAGAUACAAGUACAGAAAAUGAGGUCAAGACAGUUGCUAAUACUACUGAAUCUGCUGAUGAUGGGGACUCAAAUGAUCUAUGGAAAAAAGUACAAGAUUUUGCUGGGUCUAUAGCUCAAGGAGCUCUAAAAUGGCUGAAAGAUAACCUUUAGGCAAUCUCGAGUUUGGCUUCGGCUUUGUUUGAAACCUAACUAAACAAGUCUUUGUUCAACCUCCUUGGCUCUAGAUCUCUACUCCUACCCAAAAAUGGCUCAAAGACACUUUCUGGCAAUUUUCCUGAGUUGUUUCUUCAUGCGUCCUCCAGAGGUGACCAUUGUGCUCAGAGUGGAUGUUCAUAACUUGCAUAGAAAAAAUGGAGAAGAUGCCAUUUUGAAGUUGAAGUUGAAAUUGAGAUAUCUGUGCAUCCUGUUCAUUGUGUGAUUAAUAUUGAUGUUUAGCCGUUUCGAUGGAUCAACUGAUUGAAUGUUUUAGUAUGGUGUAGCGACCAAAUAAAUCCGGACUUGAAACUUCUACUUUUUA